Ficedula albicollis (Collared flycatcher) is the source of this 522-nucleotide long non-coding RNA. RefSeq lists it as uncharacterized. The record is from RefSeq and is a predicted model, not a curated record. The transcript has 3 exons. NCBI's taxonomy places the organism in Eukaryota, Metazoa, Chordata, Aves, Passeriformes, Muscicapidae.
GCCACUUCCUGUAGGUGAAAAAAUGGUGGAUCUUUAUCUCAAACCCACAUUGACAGGGAUCAUCAUGACUAUUCAAGGAGUGAAGAUAUGUAGGGAGAUACCAAAUCUGCACCCAUUUUCCCAUGCAUUCGUCUAGCAAUGAGGAGUGAUCAUUGAGAUAAAAAGGAAUAGCUAUGCUGCAGGGAGAUUUCAACCUUCCUGAGUCUAGGAUAAGGACCAAAGAACUUGAUUCAAAUGGAUGGAAAUAUACAGACUGAGACUUUCAAAGUGGUCAACAGAGGACAAGCAUGUCUCUUCCAGUGCUCUCAAUACAGUCUGGAUGCUUCAGUCUUUAAAAGGAUUUUCAUAUCACAACAGCAGCUUGCUAUUUGGAAUGCUGGGAGGAGACACAAGCAAUGAGAAAAGGGGAAGAUAUUUUAUGUUUUGAGAUUUUCCUAAAUCAGGGUCCAUGGCAAUGACAAGAUUAUCAGCUUUGAUUUAUCAUUAGCAUGCAAAACAGAAAAAAUGAACAGAUAAGCUGUC